UUUGGGAAGCACAAAGGCUUUUGCUCAAGUAGCUUUGAGCAGCUUCUCCUGCCUCCUCCUGAGCCAAAGAACCCUUCCCAACACUCCAUGCUGGUAUUUUCCAGGUCAAGCUUAGCCACAGUGUUCUCUGGAUUGCAAGGAAAGCCUCUUGAAAAAGCAGCACGUGCCUUCAAGCACGGAGCAAACUUGGUGAUGCAGCUGCAGAGAGCCAGGAACCAGCUCCUGAAAUGGGAAGAAGAGUCAUUUACAUGGUAAUUAAUAGCAUUUGAAGGAAGGAUACGUUGAGAAAUAGCACAUACGCCCUGAUUAAACAAGUGGGAAUUAGCCCUGGGAAUGCCCAGGACAAAGAAGGGGCAGUUCCCUUUUGGUUUGGCUCAUGAUGUGAGGAAUUAAAAGGCUGGUAAAAGCUGCUGCAGAUUUAUGAAAGGGAAGAUCCCACCGGGCAAAGGGGUUGAGAUGCCGAGGUUGGAAAUGGAAUAUGUUUGAUGACACGCACAGAGAACAUUUUGUCUCCUGGCACAUGAGGCAUAAAACACAACCCUGUUGUGCAGUGUAGGGGUUUUCCAGGCUUCUCUGCUGCAUUUAGAACUCUGUGGCCUCAGGUAAUAAAUACAUGUAUACACACACCCACGUUCAUCCUUAUCCCAGGCCGGGGAUUAACCAAAACAGGGGCAGUGCAUCCUUGGUGGAGCUCAGUUACCAAGGCUGUGCCGGAGCAUCCGGGUCAAACCUGAGCAGCAGGAACAGAGGGGACAGCAAGAGGCUCUUGGUUUGUCUCUGAGUGGGUGCAGGGCACGAUUUGAUAAUGUCCCACACUUGGAAGUGACUCCUUCCCCUGCAAACCAGGGAGCAAAUCCCCUCUUCCCUAUCCCAGCAAUGACAGCUGCUCCUGCUUCCCGGGCUGGUGGGACACGCCAGGUCUGAUGUGAGCAGGGAUUUUCACUGACACCAUAUAGCAGUGGCAACAGAUGGAACCAUAAGAUCAAUAUACAGUCCACAUAAUUAAGAAUCGUGUAUUUAAUUGUGCCUUUUCAACAAGCAUUUCAAAUGCUCCUUAAAUCAGCCACGUGGU
Long non-coding RNA from Pseudopipra pipra, 1072 nucleotides. RefSeq lists it as uncharacterized. NCBI's taxonomy places the organism in Eukaryota, Metazoa, Chordata, Aves, Passeriformes, Pipridae. The transcript is spliced from 4 exons. The record is from RefSeq and is a predicted model, not a curated record.